AGCGUACACGGUGGAUGCCCUGGCAGUCAGAGGCGAUGAAGGACGUGCUAAUCUGCGAAAAGCGCCGGCGAGGUGAUAUGAACCUUUGACCCGGCGAUGUCCGAAUGGGGAAACCCAGUGUGUUCCGACACACUAUCGUUAACUGAAUACAUAGGUUAACGAGGCGAACCGGGGGAACUGAAACAUCUAAGUACCCCGAGGAAAAGAAAUCAACCGAGAUUCCCCCAGUAGCGGCGAGCGAACGGGGAGCAGCCCAGAGUCUGAAUCAGCUUGUGUGUUAGUGGAAGCGUCUGGAAAGUCGCACGGUACAGGGUGACAGUCCCGUACACGAAAGCACACAGGCUGUGAACUCGAAGAGUAGGGCGGGACACGUGGUAUCCUGUCUGAAUAUGGGGGGACCAUCCUCCAAGGCUAAAUACUCCUGACUGACCGAUAGUGAACCAGUACCGUGAGGGAAAGGCGAAAAGAACCCCGGCGAGGGGAGUGAAAAAGAACCUGAAACCGUGUACGUACAAGCAGUGGGAGCACCUUCGUGGUGUGACUGCGUACCUUUUGUAUAAUGGGUCAGCGACUUAUAUUCUGUAGCAAGGUUAACCGUAUAGGGGAGCCGAAGGGAAACCGAGUCUUAACUGGGCGUUAAGUUGCAGGGUAUAGACCCGAAACCCGGUGAUCUAGCCAUGGGCAGGUUGAAGGUUGGGUAACACUAACUGGAGGACCGAACCGACUAAUGUUGAAAAAUUAGCGGAUGACUUGUGGCUGGGGGUGAAAGGCCAAUCAAACCGGGAGAUAGCUGGUUCUCCCCGAAAGCUAUUUAGGUAGCGCCUCGUGAACUCAUCUUCGGGGGUAGAGCACUGUUUCGGCUAGGGGGCCAUCCCGGCUUACCAACCCGAUGCAAACUACGAAUACCGAAGAAUGUUAUCACGGGAGACACACGGCGGGUGCUAACGUCCGUCGUGAAGAGGGAAACAACCCAGACCGCCAGCUAAGGUCCCAAAGUCAUGGUUAAGUGGGAAACGAUGUGGGAAGGCACAGACAGCCAGGAUGUUGGCUUAGAAGCAGCCAUCAUUUAAAGAAAGCGUAAUAGCUCACUGGUCGAGUCGGCCUGCGCGGAAGAUGUAACGGGGCUAAACCAUGCACCGAAGCUGCGGCAGCGACACUAUGUGUUGUUGGGUAGGGGAGCGUUCUGUAAGCCGUUGAAGGUGUGCUGUGAGGCAUGCUGGAGGUAUCAGAAGUGCGAAUGCUGACAUAAGUAACGAUAAAGCGGGUGAAAAGCCCGCUCGCCGGAAGACCAAGGGUUCCUGUCCAACGUUAAUCGGGGCAGGGUGAGUCGACCCCUAAGGCGAGGCCGAAAGGCGUAGUCGAUGGGAAACAGGUUAAUAUUCCUGUACUUGGUGUUACUGCGAAGGGGGGACGGAGAAGGCUAUGUUAGCCGGGCGACGGUUGUCCCGGUUUAAGCAUGUAGGCGGAACGAUUAGGUAAAUCCGGUCGUUUUUUAACGCUGAGGUGUGAUGACGAGGCACUACGGUGCUGAAGUAACAAAUGCCCUGCUUCCAGGAAAAGCCUCUAAGCAUCAGGUAACAUCAAAUCGUACCCCAAACCGACACAGGUGGUCAGGUAGAGAAUACCAAGGCGCUUGAGAGAACUCGGGUGAAGGAACUAGGCAAAAUGGUGCCGUAACUUCGGGAGAAGGCACGCUGAUAUGUAGGUGAAGCCCCUGCGGGUGGAGCUGAAAUCAGUCGAAGAUACCAGCUGGCUGCAACUGUUUAUUAAAAACACAGCACUGUGCAAACACGAAAGUGGACGUAUACGGUGUGACGCCUGCCCGGUGCCGGAAGGUUAAUUGAUGGGGUUAGCGGUAACGCGAAGCUCUUGAUCGAAGCCCCGGUAAACGGCGGCCGUAACUAUAACGGUCCUAAGGUAGCGAAAUUCCUUGUCGGGUAAGUUCCGACCUGCACGAAUGGCGUAAUGAUGGCCAGGCUGUCUCCACCCGAGACUCAGUGAAAUUGAACUCGCUGUGAAGAUGCAGUGUACCCGCGGCAAGACGGAAAGACCCCGUGAACCUUUACUAUAGCUUGACACUGAACACUGGUCCUUGAUGUGUAGGAUAGGUGGGAGGCUUUGAAGUGUGGACGCCAGUCUGCAUGGAGCCAUCCUUGAAAUACCACCCUUUAAUGGCUGGUGUUCUAACGUAGACCCGUAAUCCGGGUUGCGGACAGUGUCUGGUGGGUAGUUUGACUGGGGCGGUCUCCUCCCAAAGAGUAACGGAGGAGCACGAAGGUUAGCUAAUCCUGGUCGGACAUCAGGAGGUUAGUGCAAUGGCAUAAGCUAGCUUGACUGCGAGAGUGACGGCUCGAGCAGGUGCGAAAGCAGGUCAUAGUGAUCCGGUGGUUCUGAAUGGAAGGGCCAUCGCUCAACGGAUAAAAGGUACUCCGGGGAUAACAGGCUGAUACCGCCCAAGAGUUCAUAUCGACGGCGGUGUUUGGCACCUCGAUGUCGGCUCAUCACAUCCUGGGGCUGAAGUAGGUCCCAAGGGUAUGGCUGUUCGCCAUUUAAAGUGGUACGCGAGCUGGGUUUAGAACGUCGUGAGACAGUUCGGUCCCUAUCUGCCGUGGGCGCUGGAGAAUUGAGGGGGGCUGCUCCUAGUACGAGAGGACCGGAGUGGACGCAUCACUGGUGUUCGGGUUGUCAUGCCAAUGGCACUGCCCGGUAGCUAAAUGCGGAAAAGAUAAGUGCUGAAAGCAUCUAAGCACGAAACUUGCCCCGAGAUGAGUUCU
RNAcentral lists this ribosomal RNA (2774 nucleotides) under Enterobacter cloacae. RNAcentral's name for it is "bacterial LSU rRNA". It matches the Rfam family "Bacterial large subunit ribosomal RNA". Lineage: Bacteria; Pseudomonadati; Pseudomonadota; Gammaproteobacteria; Enterobacterales; Enterobacteriaceae. The record is from RNAcentral.